UGGGGAAUAUUGCACAAUGGGGGAAACCCUGAUGCAGCAACGCCGCGUGAGCGAAGAAGUAUUUCGGUAUGUAAAGCUCUAUCAGCAGGGAAGAAAGUGACGGUACCUGAGUAAGAAGCCCCGGCUAACUACGUGCCAGCAGCCGCGGUAAUACGUAGGGGGCAAGCGUUAUCCGGAUUUACUGGGUGUAAAGGGAGCGUAGACGGCGGCGCAAGUCUGAUGUGAAAGCCUGGGGCUCAACCCCGGAACUGCAUUGGAAACUGUGCUGCUAGAGUGCCGGAGAGGUAAGCGGAAUUCCUAGUGUAGCGGUGAAAUGCGUAGAUAUUAGGAGGAACACCAGUGGCGAAGGCGGCUUACUGGACGGUAACUGACGUUGAGGCUCGAAAGCGUGGGGAGCAAACA
Molecule: ribosomal RNA, 402 nt
Filed under: uncultured bacterium
Lineage: Bacteria
Description: bacterial SSU rRNA
Rfam family: Bacterial small subunit ribosomal RNA
Source: RNAcentral